CCUACGGGAGGCUGCAGUGGGGAAUAUUGCGCAAUGGGCGAAAGCCUGACGCAGCGACGCCGCGUGAGGGAUGAAGGUCUUCGGAUCGUAAACCUCUGUCAGCAGGGAAGAACGGUCACUGUGCUAAUCAGCAGUGAAUUGACGGUACCUGAAAAGGAAGCACCGGCUAACUCCGUGCCAGCAGCCGCGGUAAUACGGAGGGUGCGAGCGUUAAUCGGAAUUACUGGGCGUAAAGCGCUCGUAGGCGGUAUGGCAAGUCAAGGGUGAAAUCCCCGGGCUCAACCUGGGAACUGCCUUUGAAACUGGCAGACUGGAGUGUGUGAGAGGAUAGUGGAAUGCCAGGUGUAGGAGUGACAUCCGUAGAUAUCUGGAGGAACAUCAGUGGCGAAGGCGACUAUCUGGCACAUAACUGACGCUGAGGAGCGAAAGCGUGGGUAGCAAACAGGAUUAGAUACCCGUGUAGUC
RNAcentral lists this ribosomal RNA (465 nucleotides) under uncultured bacterium. RNAcentral describes it as "partial 16S ribosomal RNA". It matches the Rfam family "Bacterial small subunit ribosomal RNA", at positions 338 to 795 of the family's 1533-position model. The record is from RNAcentral.